This 172-nucleotide unclassified non-coding RNA is filed under the name Papiliotrema aurea. Its description in RNAcentral is "sequence contains ITS2". Lineage: Eukaryota; Fungi; Basidiomycota; Tremellomycetes; Tremellales; Rhynchogastremaceae. The record is from RNAcentral.
AAUCUCAACCCUCCUAGGUUUUUGACCUGGUUGGGCUUGGACAUGGGCGUCUGCCAGCAAUGGCUCGCCUUAAAUGACUUAGUGGAACAUCCCACAUCAGUGUUAGACGUAAUAAGUUUCGUCUCUCCUUGUGGUGAUGACUGCUCAUAAUCUGCCAUCGCGCACCUUUUGA